Molecule: ribosomal RNA, 253 nt
Filed under: uncultured bacterium
Lineage: Bacteria
Description: partial 16S ribosomal RNA
Rfam family: Bacterial small subunit ribosomal RNA
Source: RNAcentral
UACGAAGGGGGCUAGCGUUGUUCGGAAUCACUGGGCGUAAAGCGCAUGCAGGCGGAUCGUUAAGUCGGGGGUGAAAGCCCGAGGCUCAACCUCGGAACUGCCUUCGAUACUGGCGAUCUUGAGUCCGGGAGAGGUGAGUGGAACUCCGAGUGUAGAGGUGAAAUUCGUAGAUAUUCGGAAGAACACCAGUGGCGAAGGCGGCUCACUGGCCCGGUACUGACGCUGAGACGCGAAAGCGUGGGUAGCAAACAGG